CCACGAGAAUGCACAUCCUGUCUGUCAUUGGUCUCAGUAUUUGUCUUGUGUUUAUUGGUAUUAAUAUGCAAGUGCAGUAAAUAUCUAUCUGGAAUGUUUGAAUGAUAAUUGCAAUUUUGGUACAGCAAAGACCCUUAUUGAUGGAACCAGAAAGGCCGUAUCCCAGUACGAUUGUGGAGCCGGAAGUAUUCUUGUCAACCUGACUGUCAUUGGUUUAGGACUUACAUUUUAUAUGCUUGUUUAGAUGCCGCAUUUUAGUACAUCCAUAUGAACAAGUCUGAAGAUACAUGUACUUAUUUCCAAAAACUGUAUAGGAUUUAAGUUUUUCGCCUUAAUCUAAUUCACUUUAACACAUUUGCACUGCUUGUAAGGAUUGAACAAAUGUGCAAAAUCUUAUUUGGACACUUGCAUACUUUUUUGGUUUAAUUUGUAAUUAAUAAAUUUAUUUUACAAUUA
Long non-coding RNA from Mytilus californianus (California mussel), 456 nucleotides. RefSeq lists it as uncharacterized. The transcript is spliced from 3 exons. The record is from RefSeq and is a predicted model, not a curated record. Lineage: Eukaryota; Metazoa; Mollusca; Bivalvia; Mytilida; Mytilidae.